GAGUGGAAGGGGCAAGGCCAGAACCCCAGAACUAGGAAGACCACUUAGAAAACUAGAGUAAGAGUCCAGCUUCUUCCACCCCCAACCCAGUCCGUCCACCUGCCUGACCAAGAGUGU
RNAcentral lists this long non-coding RNA (117 nucleotides) under Sus scrofa (pig). RNAcentral's name for it is "lncRNA (ENSSSCG00025068162.1, ENSSSCG00050005418.1)". Lineage: Eukaryota; Metazoa; Chordata; Mammalia; Artiodactyla; Suidae. The record is from RNAcentral.